AGCAGCCGCGGUAAUUCCAGCUCCAAUAGCGUAUAUUAAAGUUGUUGCAGUUAAAAAGCUCGUAGUUGAAUUUUAGGCCUGGCCGGGCGGUCCGUCUUUGGCGAGUACUGUCUGUUGUCGGGUCUUCCUUCUGGUGAACCAAUAUGUCCUUUAUUGGGUGUGCUGGGGAGCCAGGACCAUUACCUUGAAAAAAUUAGAGUGUUUAAAGCAGGCUUUUGCUUGAAUAGAUUAGCAUGGAAUAAUAGAAUAGGACGUUGUGGUUCUAUUUUGUUGGCUUCUAGGACCACCGUAAUGAUUAAUAGUGAUAGUUGGGGGCAUUAGUAUUCAAUUGUCAGAGGUGAAAUUCUUGGAUUUAUUGAAGACUAACUAUUGCGAAAGCAUUUGCCAAGGAUGUUUUCAUUAAUCAAGAACGAAAGUUAGGGGAUCGAAGACGAUCAGAUACCGUCGUAGUCUUAACCAUAAACCAUGCCGACUAGGAAUCGGGCGACGUUAUUUUAAUGACUCGCUCGGCGCCUUAUGG
RNAcentral lists this ribosomal RNA (520 nucleotides) under uncultured Archaeospora. Its description in RNAcentral is "SSU rRNA". It matches the Rfam family "Eukaryotic small subunit ribosomal RNA", at positions 569 to 1093 of the family's 1831-position model. The record is from RNAcentral. Lineage: Eukaryota; Fungi; Glomeromycota; Glomeromycetes; Archaeosporales; Archaeosporaceae.